Molecule: ribosomal RNA, 242 nt
Filed under: uncultured bacterium
Lineage: Bacteria
Description: partial 16S ribosomal RNA
Rfam family: Bacterial small subunit ribosomal RNA
Source: RNAcentral
GAUCAUGCCUCAGUAUGAACGCUGGCGGCGUGCUUAACACAUGCAAGUCGAGCGGGGAUUAUUUCAUUGAAGCUUCGGCAGAUUUGGCUUAAUCCUAGUGGCGGACGGGUGAGUAACGCGUGGGUAACCUGCCUUGUACAGGGGGAUAACAGUCAGAAAUGACUGCUAAUACCGCAUAAGCGCACAGGACCGCAUGGUCCGGUGUGAAAAACUCCGGUGGUAUAAGAUGGAUCCGCGUUGGA